Molecule: ribosomal RNA, 254 nt
Filed under: uncultured bacterium
Lineage: Bacteria
Description: partial 16S ribosomal RNA
Rfam family: Bacterial small subunit ribosomal RNA
Source: RNAcentral
UACGUAGGGUGCAAGCGUUGUCCGGAAUUAUUGGGCGUAAAGAGCUCGUAGGCGGUUUGUCGCGUCUGCUGUGAAAACUCGGGGCUUAACCCCCGAGCCUGCAGUGGAUACGGGCAGACUAGAGGUAGGUAGGGGAGAAUGGAAUUCCUGGUGUAGCGGUGAAAUGCGCAGAUAUCAGGAGGAACACCGGUGGCGAAGGCGGGUCUCUGGGCCGAUACUGACACUGAGGAGCGAAAGCGUGGGGAGCGAACAGG